This 744-nucleotide ribosomal RNA is filed under the name uncultured bacterium. RNAcentral describes it as "bacterial SSU rRNA". It matches the Rfam family "Bacterial small subunit ribosomal RNA", at positions 8 to 796 of the family's 1533-position model. The record is from RNAcentral.
AGAGUUUGAUCCUGGCUCAGAGCGAACGCUGGCGGCAGGCUUAACACAUGCAAGUCGAGCGGGCGUAGCAAUACGUCAGCGGCAGACGGGUGAGUAACGCGUGGGAACGUACCUUUUGGUUCGGAACAACACAGGGAAACUUGUGCUAAUACCGGAUAAGCCCUUACGGGGAAAGAUUUAUCGCCGAAAGAUCGGCCCGCGUCUGAUUAGCUAGUUGGUGAGGUAACGGCUCACCAAGGCGACGAUCAGUAGCUGGUCUGAGAGGAUGAUCAGCCACAUUGGGACUGAGACACGGCCUAAACUCCUACGGGAGGCAGCAGUGGGGAAUAUUGGACAAUGGGCGCAAGCCUGAUCCAGCCAUGCCGCGUGAGUGAUGAAGGCCCUAGGGUUGUAAAGCUCUUUUGUGCGGGAAGAUAAUGACGGUACCGCAAGAAUAAGCCCCGGCUAACUUCGUGCCAGCAGCCGCGGUAAUACGAAGGGGGCUAGCGUUGCUCGGAAUCACUGGGCGUAAAGGGUGCGUAGGCGGGUCUUUAAGUCAGGGGUGAAAUCCUGGAGCUCAACUCCAGAACUGCCUUUGAUACUGAGGAUCUUGAGUUCGGGAGAGGUGAGUGGAACUGCGAGUGUAGAGGUGAAAUUCGUAGAUAUUCGCAAGAACACCAGUGGCGAAGGCGGCUCACUGGCCCGAUACUGACGCUGAGGCACGAAAGCGUGGGGAGCAAACAGGAUUAGAUACCCUAGUAGUCC